GAUGAACGCUGGCGGCGUGCCUAAUACAUGCAAGUCGAGCGAACAGACGAGGAGCUUGCUCCUUCGACGUUAGCGGCGGACGGGUGAGUAACACGUAGGUAACCUACCUAUAAGACUGGGAUAACUUCGGGAAACCGGAGCUAAUACCGGAUAAUAUUUCGAACCGCAUGGUUCGAUAGUGAAAGAUGGCUUUGCUAUCACUUAUAGAUGGACCUGCGCCGUAUUAGCUAGUUGGUAAGGUAACGGCUUACCAAGGCAACGAUACGUAGCCGACCUGAGAGGGUGAUCGGCCACACUGGAACUGAGACACGGUCCAGACUACUACGGGAGGCAGCAGUAGGGAAUCUUCCGCAAUGGGCGAAAGCCUGACGGAGCAACGCCGCGUGAGUGAUGAAGGUCUUCGGAUCGUAAAACUCUGUUAUUAGGGAAGAACAAACGUGUAAGUAACUGUGCACGUCUUGACGGUACCUAAUCAGAAAGCCACGGCUAACUACGUG
RNAcentral lists this ribosomal RNA (497 nucleotides) under uncultured bacterium. Its description in RNAcentral is "partial 16S ribosomal RNA". It matches the Rfam family "Bacterial small subunit ribosomal RNA", at positions 28 to 507 of the family's 1533-position model. The record is from RNAcentral.